GAGGCUGUGGCACAUGAUGCAUAACCUUUCUGGCGGCGGAUCACCUCUCGGACUACUUGUCCCAGGCACGGAUUCUCUGCAGAGGGCAUAGAAGUCAGGGCAUUGGUGGUCUAGGUGGCCAGCAGGACCAUGAGCAGUUCCCAGUGGGAGAAUGUCUGCAGCAAGGCACUUGAGGAAGGGAGCCAUGACCCUUGACCCUUGACAAGCAAGUCACAGUUUCCGUGUCUGCAAAGUGGUAUAAAAUGUGGAAAAGUCCUCAAGGCACGGGGUGGACUGCCUGGGAUCCUGGUGGCAGGGAGCAAGACUUCUCAGUGUCCAUGCAGGAGAAAGAUCCCCCAAGGGUGCGAAGAGCCUUGAGAUCAUUCUCAUACAGGGCCAGCACAGCACGGGCACUGGGCACGCCCUCGCUGGUCGUAUCUCUGCUUCUUUAGCCUGCCCAGGGAGCCCUCCAAGGUCUUUGGUUGGUGCCAAGUAGUUCCAGAGGUGCAUAUAUGAGAGUGGUGGUGGCCAACACAUGGACCGUGAAGGGCAGGACAAAGAACCUUGAGAAGGUCAAGGCAAGACCUCUCUAGCCCCUGCCUGGGUUAGCCCCUGCUCUGGGGAACUGGAAGCUCUGGGCCCAGGCUCCAUUCGGACCUCCCAUUUUUCUACCCACAAACACCCCUCCCCAUGGAAUAGUCUGUGCCAGGCUAAGCAGGGCACAGUGCUUGGGCCAAAGGCACACAGAGGAAGUCCCCCCUGGAAAACCUUGGAAGAAAGAAAUGGAUGGCCCCAGAGGACACAGCGAUGAUGCUGACAAUGGACAGAAAACUGCUCAGAGAAAGAUCUUUAUGUGUCAAUGGUAAGACAAAAAAAUGGAAAUACUCGAAAGAUUCAAAACCAGAAAUGGAUUAAGUGGCAGUGGAGUAUUAUGGCUUGGUGAUAAAGACUGCGCAUUCUGGAAUCAGAUGGACCUGGAAGCCUGGUAAGCCUCAAUUUUCUCAUUUUUAAAAAUGAGGAUAAUAUUAAAAGUUGAUCACAUAGAGGUAUUAGAGAAUUAAAUAAGUUGUUACAUGAAGAAUGAGAAGAAAAUACAUGAGACAGUGCUUACCAUCAUUCCUGUUGCAUACAAACUCAGUAGUAGUUUGUUGUUAUAAUAUGAUCAAUAAAAAAAUCACAUGUACAAAAGUUUGCUGGAUAAAAUGGGAAAAUGCUUAUGUUUUAAUAAUGUUGGAUUAAAAAAUGCAGGUUGAAGAUUUUUCUCAAGGCCAGGUGCAGUGGCUUAUGCCUGUAAUCCCAGCAUUUUGGGGGGCCAAAACAGGAGGAUCGUUGGAGAUCAGGAGUUUGAGACCAGCCUGUGCAACAUAGUGAGACCUUGUCUCUACAAAAGAUGAAAAAAAAAAAAAGAUAUUCUCCACUAUGGAAAGACAUGUACAGAAAGAAGUCAGUGAGGAGAUGUGUGGCAAUGCCAGCAGGGAACUUGGAGAGAAUGACACUUGGCCCAUUAGAUGAGGGUUCACAUCAGCGUCAGCAUCUGAGCCUCUUUGUGGGACCCAUGGAAGAGACAGGGUGAAGGUUUCUGAAGCCACAUCUGUUGAGAUACCCUGCUCUGACAGGUUGCUGGGAACACAGCAGACCCCAAGAGG
Molecule: long non-coding RNA, 1625 nt
Filed under: Homo sapiens (human)
Lineage: Eukaryota; Metazoa; Chordata; Mammalia; Primates; Hominidae
Description: HSALNT0097444
Source: RNAcentral